GAUGAACGCUGGCGGCGUGCCUAAUACAUGCAAGUCGAGCGAACAGACGAGGAGCUUGCUCCUCUGACGUUAGCGGCGGACGGGUGAGUAACACGUGGAUAACCUACCUAUAAGACUGGGAUAACUUCGGGAAACCGGAGCUAAUACCGGAUAAUAUAUUGGACCGCAUGGUUCAAUAGUGAAAGACGGUUUUGCUGUCACUUAUAGAUGGAUCCGCGCCGCAUUAGCUAGUUGGUAAGGUAACGGCUUACCAAGGCAAUGAUGCGUAGCCGACCUGAGAGGGUGAUCGGCCACACUGGAACUGAGACACGGUCCAGACUCCUACGGGAGGCAGCAGUAGGGAAUCUUCCGCAAUGGGCGAAAGCCUGACGGAGCAACGCCGCGUGAGUGAUGAAGGUCUUCGGAUCGUAAAACUCUGUUAUUAGGGAAGAACAAAUGUGUAAGUAACUAUGCACGUCUUGACGGUACCUAAUCAGAAAGCCACGGCUAACUACGUG
RNAcentral lists this ribosomal RNA (497 nucleotides) under uncultured bacterium. RNAcentral's name for it is "partial 16S ribosomal RNA". It matches the Rfam family "Bacterial small subunit ribosomal RNA", at positions 28 to 507 of the family's 1533-position model. The record is from RNAcentral.